This 922-nucleotide small RNA is filed under the name Olea europaea subsp. europaea. The record is from RNAcentral. Lineage: Eukaryota; Viridiplantae; Streptophyta; Magnoliopsida; Lamiales; Oleaceae.
AAUUGAAGAAAUAAUUUUACCAUGCCUUUCAUCUUAUAAUCAUCUAAAAGCAAAGCAUAAAAAUACAUACUAAGAAAUCAUUCAAAAAUCAAAUUAUGUUUUAUUAGAAAUAACCAUGUACUCUAUAAUUGAUUAAUUCUGAUACUAAAAUUGGAAUUUUAUGCAGGAAAUCUAGUAAUUUUAGAUAAUAAUAAUACUAUGAAAGAACAUUGUGUAUGCUUUCUUUCUCACGCUCCUACAAGAAUAUACUUUUAUAAACUCCUAGUAUGACCGACAUCUUGGAUCCUAAACCAUUUAAAUCAUGACACCUUGGUUAUUCGAGGUGUCGUGAUUUGAGAGGAUAACCACACGUGUGCAUUAUAUAUGGUCAACGUUUGAAAUAUCUUAAUUUGAGUGGACAAUUGGACAUUUAUAUUGUAUAUUUCGAUCUAGUGAAAAGUGAGCUGCUAAGGAUAAUGAUCCCACUAUGGAGGUCGUGAAUUGAGUGGGCAAUCAUACGUGUACGUCAUAUAUGGUUGAUGUCUAAGGUGUCGUGAUUUAAAUAACGACAAUCAUACCUGUGUAUUGCAUAUUUGGGUCAAGUGAAAAGUGAGUUGUUAAGGAUGUAGCAAAGACCUUACUUUUGAGAUGUAGUGAUUUGAGUGGACAAUCGUGCGCGUAUCUCAUAUAGGUCAACAUUUGAAGUGUCGUAAUUUGAAUGGUCAAUCAUACGUGUACAUCAUAUAUUUGGAUCCAGUAAAAAGUGAGCUGUUGAGGAUGUUGUAAAGACCCCACCUCACCACCCUCUGUAUAAAUACAUAUAUAUACAUGUAUGUACGCAUGAAUAUAUAGAGGAAAUUUAAACAUCAGAUACCAACCACAUAGCCUUCUCUCUCAUCAGCAAUAAAAACCCAUAAAUGCGAUGGCAUCCUCUCUAUACCCU